RNA transcript from Argiope bruennichi, 2020 nucleotides. It is a transcript of the gene named tumor protein D52-like, with no coding region annotated. The record is from RefSeq and is a predicted model, not a curated record. NCBI's taxonomy places the organism in Eukaryota, Metazoa, Arthropoda, Arachnida, Araneae, Araneidae. The transcript has 6 exons.
GCAGUCUGUAUACCUGUUGCAGCACCACUCGGUGGUGACUAAGCGAACAGGUUUACUUUAAUGAUCGGGGAAGAAUAUUCGGAUGGUAUGUCCCGUGCUCUGCUGUCUUCCUUUUGGCAUCCACCCACCAUUCGGACCAGACGUGUCAUCGACUUUUGUUUUGACAUCUCGAUCGCCGUGUUGAUGUUCUUCGGUGUUCCUCCUAAUUUCGUUUUCAACCAAUUCCAUGCUGAGGGAACUGUCAACGUGGAAUAUAUUCCAAUGGAACCUGUCAAAGUGGACCAACGAAUGUAGGCCAUCUACGUAUUGGUUUGUAAUCACUUCCCAGUUGGCAGUUCUUGUUGAUUCCGCGUACCAUGUGAUUCUGGUUUUCUGAAUAUUUCUCAUCACCACUUCAAAACCUUAUUGUAUUCAUAGUUAAUUUGGAUUUCCAUGCGAUUAUUUGACUCUUGUAGUUGAGUGAAAAAAUGUGCAAAGACCACUUGUGUAUACUUCAUCUGACGUUGUGUUCUUCUAAAUAUUCUUUGUGUGUUUUAAGUCCCUGGUGUAACCAUGCACGACCCUAACGCGAACUCAUCCCUCGAAACAAGUUUGGAAGAAGACUUGUAUAUGCCGGAUUUUGAAUUUUCAGACCAUGUUGGAAAAGGGAAGAAUUCGUCAUUUUGGAAUGGAAUAUAUUUUGGCGCAGAUCAUGAAAAUGCAAAGUACCAAAGAUUUAGCAGAAUUGCUGCUGCACAAGAGAUGGAAGACUUUGAUUCAUUCUAUGACACUUCUGAGGAAGCAGCAUUCUCUAUGUCUCCUGACAGUGGAGUCCAUGACAUGUCUCAACUGACUCCUGAGGCCAAGGCUAAACUUCAAGAUGAAUGGACUCGAGAACUUGCUAAAACAGAGGAUGAAAUAAAUACUCUGAGACAAGUACUUUCAUCGAAAAUCAGACAUAUGCAAGAGCUCAAAAGAAAGCUUGGCAUCACAGUUUGGAAGGAAUUCAAAGAAGACAUGGAGCAAGGCAUUCGCAACAUUCAGGAGUCAACUGCCUAUCAGAAGACGAGUCAGACUUUGAAAACUGCAUCUGAGAAAACUACUGAGGCUUUGGGUACUAUUGGCGCAACUGUUAGCAAAAAGUUUGAAGAAGUCAAGCAAUCUCAAGCUUUCAAGUCGCUGGAAGAGAAAGUUGGCUCAGCCUACACCAAUGUCAAGGUAAAUACCCCUGGAGCACCUAACUAAUAACCUCCAAUGUGAAUACCUAAGCUAUUUGUGUGGGUGAUGGUAAAACCUCCUCUUUUGUGAAACUCCAACCGAGCAUCAAUAGGCUUUAUUUUAUAAUUAUAAAAAGAAAAUGUUAAAUUUAUAUAAAAUUUGAUACAAAAAAUGUUUGUUUACAUUUGAUAUAGAUUUAUUAAAAAUGUGAUAAAAUAUUAUAUAUUGUAUCUUUGAAUAUCGCCAACUGCAAGGUUAACUAUUUUUAAUAUAUAAAUAUAUAACAUUUUGUAGCAUUCGCAAUUAGUAAAAAAAUUCUAUAAUGUGCCUUAAUUUAUAAAUUUUGCAGAUCUCCUAAAAUGUUCAAUUAUUUUAUAUUCUUUCUAAUUAAAGCUUAAUAUAAAUUUUAUUAAAACGUUUUAUAUUCCUUAAGGUAUCUAUUGGUUUAACCAUUUAAAUGUAAAAGCAGAAGUAUAAAUCAUAUAUUCUUAAAAGAAAUUUUGAGUUGACAUUUAUUAAACCAUUGGUAUAAAUUUUUUUGUUUGUAAUAUGUUCAAAUUCAGUGUUGCUGUGAAAAUGUUAAUUUUAAAUAUAUUAACUAUAAAAGGUUUUUAAAGAUUCUCAUUUUCUUGCCAUUAAACUAUGUUCUUGUUAAAGUUUUAUGAAGUUGGUAGAACCAAUAUUCUUAUUGUAUCAUAAUUUGGUGGAAUAAAAUUCUUUUAAUAAAUACAGAAAUAACUUUUCUAUUAUUGAAAUAUAAAAUUCUUGCUUCCGUUGAGAAUUUUGUUGUGUAAGUGAAAUUAUUUUCAUACAUGAGAUUUUU